AUAAAAUAAUUGUCUAAAUUCUAUUGGUCAUUAACCCCAAUUUUACUUUGAAUAAGCUAGACAAAUCCUUCUAAAAGAAGUUUUUAACUUCGCCUAUGUUUUCAUAGUCAGUCCCAACAGCCCAGACAAAAGAGGGAGGUUUUGAUAUUAACAAAUGGAAAUUAUUAUAGUCUUCUAGAUAUAAUUUGUGAUUGGAGGUAGGAUAAAAACUUGUGCAUUAUAAUUACAUUUUUACCCAAUAAUUCUAUUAACGGGAGAUUUCUGAAAAGGAGUCUCAUGCGUUUUGGGGAGCAAAUAAAUUGUGUUUAGUAGUCGCUAUAAAUCAAUGCUCACUGGUGUUGAUGGCACCACCUUCAUUGGUCGUGUUUUUGUCGGAGCUGUUUCAUAUUCCAUUGACUUGUGGAGUGGCAUUGCCGCAUUUACCAUUUGGGACUGGCCAUGAGACUAACAUUCCCAUUAAUGCGUUUUGUUAAAUUUUGUUAUUUAAAUUAAAUCGGGAGUUUCAUGCUAUAGAUCUAUUUAUACUGUUUCUUUUAUGUAUCCACUGUGAUUCAUUGGUUGUAUUACUUUCGAGUCAUUCGUAGGUUACUAUUGAGUUAUGUUUUUGUGAGUUUUACAUUUUCUUUACCUAAUUUAUUAUUGAAAAAUGCAGAUAUGAAUGAAAUGGGAACUUAACAUUUCUUCGGUGCUUGGUAGAACACAGAGCUAAAUAAAAGCUAAGUCAGUUACAAGAGUCUCACUAUAUUAAUAUUAUGAGUAAGAUGUUAAACCAUCAUCUCUUGUAUUUAUUAAAGUAGGCAAUGAUCUUGUUGGUAAUAUUGCUGCAGGCCAAGUGCGCAACCAUCUGUCAAAAGUUGAUAACUGGCAAAUAAUCAGUUUUAGCCCUGCUUGAACUAAGCAACAAUAAGGUUGACAAAUAGUCAGUUUCAGCACUGCUUGAGCUUAAGCAACAAUGGUAUCACACCCUUCCUCCCAGCCCUAACACAACCUCACAAUCUUGCACUCGACGUGGCCGCCAAUACUCGAGUUGCAGCCAACCCAGUGCGGGAGACAUAGAUUGGGUGUUUUUUGAGAAGCAUUAUUUCCACCAUCUCAACAGUGGGUGGCUUCGGUUUCUCAUCCUUGGCCAGAGUGGAUCCAACUCAUGAAGUGCUUGCUCAGCAAGGGGAUACUUUGUCAUGAGGAGGAAAAAAUGUUCCGCAAUGCUGGAGAUUUCUUAGAUAAAGGAGGCUAUUUCAACAAAUAAUGCAUGCUGGGAAAUUGGAGAAUCACCCAUCAAGAUAUGAAUAAACUGGGAACCUAAAAUUUCUUCGGUGCUUGGUAGAACACAGAGCCAAAAGCUAAGUCGAUUACAAGAGUCUCAGUACUAAUAUUAUGAGCACAGUGAGCAACCGUCUGUCAAAAGUUGAUAACUGGCAAAGAAUCAGUUUCAGCCCCUGCUUGAUUUAAGCAACAAUAAGGUUGACAAAGAAUCAGUUUCAGCACUGCUUGAACUUAAGCAACAAUAAGCUUGGAUUACUUCAUUUGCGGUGUAUAAGCUCUAUGUUUAGUGACCUCACAGUCUUGCUCCCAAGCCUAACACAACUCGUAGUCUUGCACUCGGUGCAGCAGCCAAUACUCGAGCUUGCUCAUCCUUGGCCCGAGUGGGUCCAACUCAUGAAGUGCUUGCUCGACAAGGGAUACUUCAGUCGUGAAGAGGGAAAAAUGUUAUGCAAUGCUGGUAUGGGCAUGAAGGAUUUCAAUGUCAUUAGAACCGUGUGCCUCAAUUUUGGUAGAGACCACUUUCAUCUUUUAAGGAGAUUUCUUAGAUAAAGGAGGGUAUUUCAACAAAUAAUGCAUGCUGGGAAAUUGGAGAAUCACCAGUUAAGUUAGUGGGCUGAACAUUAGUUAAUGACCUUUUUGGAAACCUAUUCUGUUCAUAUUGUUUUUAUUGGUCUAAAAUUUCCCAUGUAGCCUUCAGUGUGUAAGAUUGAAAUAACUCAUUCUCCAGAGAAUCUCACUUUCAUGCUAGAGAUGCCAUUUUUGGUUCUCCGAGUUGUGUAGUGGGAGAAGGUAAAGGAAUUGGAUUGGCUAAGUGGAAAUUUAAUUUUAUAUAUAUACAUGAGACUUGCCAUUAUAUUAUUCAAAUGUGAAUAACAAGGAAGAUCUAUUUGAUUAGAAAAUGGGAAAUUUUGGGUCU
Glycine soja is the source of this 2179-nucleotide long non-coding RNA. RefSeq lists it as uncharacterized. The transcript is spliced from 7 exons. Lineage: Eukaryota; Viridiplantae; Streptophyta; Magnoliopsida; Fabales; Fabaceae. The record is from RefSeq and is a predicted model, not a curated record.